RNAcentral lists this ribosomal RNA (492 nucleotides) under uncultured bacterium. RNAcentral describes it as "partial 16S ribosomal RNA". It matches the Rfam family "Bacterial small subunit ribosomal RNA", at positions 29 to 507 of the family's 1533-position model. The record is from RNAcentral.
AGUGAACGCUGGCGGUAGGCCUAACACAUGCAAGUCGAACGGCAGCACAGUAAGAGCUUGCUCUUACGGGUGGCGAGUGGCGGACGGGUGAGGAAUACAUCGGAAUCUACUUUUUCGUGGGGGAUAACGAAGGGAAACUUACGCUAAUACCGCAUACGACCUACGGGUGAAAGCAGGGGAUCUUCGGCCCUUGCGCGAUUGAAUGCGCCGAUGUCGGAUUAGCUAGUUGGCGGGGUAAAGGCCCACCAAGGCGACGAUCCGUAGCUGGUCUGAGAGGAUGGUCAGCCACACUGGAACUGGAACACGGUCCAGACUCCUACGGGAGGCAGCAGUGGGGAAUAUUGGACAAUGGGCGCAAGCCUGAUCCAGCCAUACCGCGUGUGUGAAGAAGGCCUUCGGGUUGUAAAGCCCUUUUGUUGGGAAAGAAAAGCAGCAGGUUAAUACCCCGCUGUUCUGACGGUACCCAAAGAAUAAGCACCGGCUAACUUCGUG